RNAcentral lists this long non-coding RNA (496 nucleotides) under Gossypium raimondii (Peruvian cotton). Its description in RNAcentral is "long non-coding RNA (GRAI_LNC004585)". Lineage: Eukaryota; Viridiplantae; Streptophyta; Magnoliopsida; Malvales; Malvaceae. The record is from RNAcentral.
UAAAAGAUGAACAGAAAUUAAAAGAAGAGAUAGGAAGGUUCGGCCAAGAAGAUAGAAAAAGAAAAACAAGGUUACAAAGAAGAAAUGACACGAAUGGUCAAUUCGUAGCACAAAAAGACUAGCAGAAACUUGACAAAGAGAUGCACGGGUGGUCAAUUUUAGUUUCGACUCUUAGAGAAAAAAGAAAGAAAAAACCAAAACUCCCAAAAACUAGAGAGAAAACUCGGCACCUACACUGACCAAAACCGAAAUGCAUUACCCCAAACACCCCCUUAGCCGAAUUUCAAAACCAAGAUUCCCCAAACGGCACACACACUCCCCCAUACUCCAACUUCCUUGAUUCACUCAACCAAUCUCUCCAUAAUCUUCUCCUCAACUUACUCCCACAAUAUCUCCAUGACCAAAUCAACUCUUCAACCCUCACACUUCUACUACAACACAAACUCUAGCCACCCUAGCUGCAAAAUAAAAGCCCCCUAUACAAUGCCAACACUCA